This 399-nucleotide ribosomal RNA is filed under the name uncultured bacterium. RNAcentral's name for it is "bacterial SSU rRNA". It matches the Rfam family "Bacterial small subunit ribosomal RNA", at positions 358 to 771 of the family's 1533-position model. The record is from RNAcentral.
GGAAUAUUGCACGAUGGGGGAAACCCUGAUGCAGCAACGCCGCGUGAAGGAAGACGGUUUUCGGAUUGUAAACUUCUUUUCUUAGUGAAGAAGAAAGUGACGGUAGCUAAGGAAUAAGCAUCGGCUAACUACGUGCCAGCAGCCGCGGUAAUACGCAGGAUGCGAGCGUUAUCCGGAAUUAAUGGGUGUAGAGGGAGCGCAGGCUGGACUGCAAGUUGGAUGUGAGCUGCCGCAGCUUAACUGCGGAGCUGCAUCCAAAACUGUAGUUCUUGAGUGGAGUAGAGGCAAGCGGAAUUCCGAGUGUAGCGGUGAAAUGCGUAGAUAUUCGGAGGAACACCAGUGGCGAAGGCGGCUUGCUGGGCUCUAACUGACGCUGAGGCUCGAAAGUGUGGGGAGCAA